RNAcentral lists this ribosomal RNA (492 nucleotides) under uncultured bacterium. RNAcentral's name for it is "partial 16S ribosomal RNA". It matches the Rfam family "Bacterial small subunit ribosomal RNA", at positions 28 to 507 of the family's 1533-position model. The record is from RNAcentral.
GAUGAACGCUAGCUACAGGCUUAACACAUGCAAGUCGAGGGGAAACGACAUCGAAAGCUUGCUUUUGAUGGGCGUCGACCGGCGCACGGGUGAGUAACGCGUAUCCAACCUGCCCACCACUUGGGGAUAACCUUGCGAAAGUAAGACUAAUACCCAAUGAUAUCUCUAGAAGACAUCUGAAAGAGAUUAAAGAUUUAUCGGUGAUGGAUGGGGAUGCGUCUGAUUAGCUUGUUGGCGGUGUAACGGCCCACCAAGGCAACGAUCAGUAGGGGUUCUGAGAGGAAGGUCCCCCACAUUGGAACUGAGACACGGUCCAAACUCAUACGGGAGGCAGCAGUGAGGAAUAUUGGUCAAUGGACGAGAGUCUGAACCAGCCAAGUAGCGUGCAGGAAGACGGCCCUAUGGGUUGUAAACUGCUUUUAUAAGAGAAUAAAGUGAGUCUCGUGAGACUUUUUGCAUGUACCUUAUGAAUAAGGACCGGCUAAUUCCGUG